GGGAAGGCUCCAGGGCCCGGGCCCAGCUGCCCGCGGGCACUGCCAGGUCGGCGGCACACGCACCUGAUGGGGCGGCUCUGACGGAGGCGGUGCCCAGGACCGGGCUCGAGGCCUCGUCUUACGUUGGCGGCGGCCACACCCCUGACCCGGCGGGGCCCUCCGCGCCGCCUCGGGACUGCAGCGCUGCUCGCCGGCCAGGCCGCGGGCCGAGAGGCGGGGCGAGGGCCGGAUUCCCGCGCCGGGUGGGGCGCCGCCUCCGGAACGCCGCGGGGCGUCUCACUCGGCCUCCGAGGGCGACCUCGGGGCACGCAUCGACCGGAAGGCUCCUCAGCUUCUGGGCCGUGGUUGCUGUUGGAAAACGGAGUGUAGCCCCGGGUCUCGAGCCCUAGGCCUGACUCCCCGGUGCAGACGCGGUGCGGAGACCGGGGCCGCGUGCUGUUCAGAAGCGCAGCCGCCGGCGAGGCGGGCCGCGGAGGCCUGAGCAGGCACAGGGCUUGGCAGAGGGUCCUGCGCUUCCUCGGCGGGUACCCGUGCAGGUAGAGGAGCACUGGGCUGCGCAGCUGAAAGGACAACGUGGAAGGAUUGUCAGGCAGUGGUGAUGGAAGGCAGAGGAGAUGACCCGAACUGAGAGAGAUCAGAGUCUUUUCUCUGUCGUGUGUGCCUUAAUUCGAUGAGGGUGUCCAAGAAGAAAGGAGACUCAUCUGAUGACCAGGGGUGGCUUAUCUCAACAAGUUACACGCAUUCUGGUCACAGGGUAAUCCAGACAAGUGUCUUGAAUUACAGUUUUCAAAAGACUCAGAGGCUAAACACUUCAGUGAGUAUUAAUAAUCAGCAGUGUCUCAGAUAAUGGUUACUCCAUCAGCCUGAGCCCUCGAGAGAGGAUGACAAUGAUCCAGAGCACAGCUCCCCACCAACCAAUGGGAGAGUGGGAGCAAGAAAGGAAUCUCUACUGUUUUAAGUUGCUGAGACUUUUGAGAUUGUUAUGAUAGCAUACCUAGCCUCUCCAAACUGUUACAGCCCUUCAGUCCCCGCCAUCAGCCUAUACUGUAUUGUGUCCAUUAUGGAAAUUACCAGCUGAUAAUUUCCACUUGUUUCAUUUAUUGAUUUUAUUUCCACUCUGCAACCCACACCAAGUUCAUGAAAGCUCCAUGUGAGCAGGGUCUUCCGUCUGUGUGGUUCACUACUGAACCUUCUGCUUCUUGAAUUUUCCAGUGCAUAGUCAGUAGGCAAAUAUUUGUUGAUUGAACUUCUGAUGGAUUGCACAUACAAGCACUUGUUUUGUGAAUGCUAUUUUGCCAACAAAACUGGAAGAAAUGCAUCUUGCACUCAGCAUCUCUGAAGCACCAAAGCCUAACAUUUCACUCUGCUAUUUGUGGGUUGGAUUGACGUCUUGGGUUACACCCUUCCAGCUAAUUUGCAGGAAGCCAAGCUGCUCCCAACGUUGCCACGAUUCCAUGGUCAGAAAACGCCUGGCUGGAGAUCAUAUACAGCAGAUGAAGAAAAAUAAAUGAAACUUUACAACCAUAAAUUGUUAAGAGUGAAGUCACCCAGAGUUUGGAGACAGAGUGGGACAGAACUGAUUUUGAUACUGUUUUUACCACUGAAAGAUGUUGUUUUACCCUUUUAAAAUUUUCUGUGCUGACUUAAUGUAAUUCCCCAGAAAUGGCCAAGUCUCAAAUUUCACUAUUGUCAUAAAAUAUUAGAACUGAAAAGAACCUUAGUGAUCACUCAAUUCAGACUACUUCAUUUAUCACCCAGCUUAAUUUUAAUUGGAAGCGUCUUAGGGUCUCACUGUUGUGUGUUGGGGGCUUAAGUUUUAGAAAUUCACAUUAGAGAUAGUGUUGCUCAAAGUUGCUGCCUUUUUUGGUACUACCAAGUAGGUUUAAAAAUACUCUUUUCUCGACCACCCCCUUAUGUAUUUGUAACAACGCUAUAAAGAUCACACUUACAAGAUUAACCCCACAAUAUUUUUAGGUUUUAUAUUUUUGCUCACCUAACAUCUUUCCUUGAUGUUUCAAAAUGUCUAAGAUAUUAAAGAAUUAAGCUCCUUAAAACGAUGAAGUAGGACACAGUAGUUUCUUCAGGGACACUUGAAGAACGUAAUUGUAUUCUACUUAACUAGCUUACCCUCCUAGACCCUAACAGACUAUAUCCAUAACAAACCUGUGAAUUUUGUCUUAACUUGCAAAGAAGUGCAUUAACAACAAAUUAAUUCACUAAAUGUUUGAUGUCAAACUAUCAACUCUCAACAUUAAGAGAUGGCAUUUUUAUAAUCUUGUUCAAUUUUAUUAAACAGGUCCUAAUCCUGAAAUUCAGGUACUAUUCACCUGCAGCUAAGUCUGAAAACCAAAACCAAAACCCAAGUGCUAUUUCCCCCAUGGGCUGAAAAUGGGACAGCGUGACUAUUUCAAGUCUCUCAAACACAAAGCCGUAUUCACUCAAGGAAAAUCAUUUACAUGUGGUUAAGGAAACAGGAAAUUUUCACAUUGGCUUUCAUAUUUACAUUUUACCAAAAAUUUCCUGAACUCAGUAAUCAUUACUACCACUUUUUAUAGUAUUAUUUACUGCAUCUUAAAAAAAAAAACAACUUAGCAGAAAGUGUACAGUUGAAGAAAACUGGAUGUCAGUCUACAAAUGAUUUACUUUUGGCAUGACAGACUUUAUUUUGGCACUUUCACAAAUAUUUUGCUUUACAGCAGUGACAAAAUAUUUGCCAGAAAUUUUUCUUUUCCUGGCACGGAUAUUCCAAGCAGUUGUUAUUCUUUGAAUUCAAUUUCACUCUGCUUUGCACAGUUAGACGUAUACCCGUUCUUACCUUCUGUUACCGAGGGACUCUGUGUGGCUUUAGAAGGUGCUACCGUUUCCUUUAGUCACUCUAAAGUGAAUUGAUUCUGUAAGUGAUGGGGCAGGAAUUUGAGAAUUAAUUAAGGCCAUUAAGGACUUAAGUAAAUACUGUUCCAAGUGUUGCUUUUAAAAAAAAUUGUUUUUAAUGAAUUCUGUGGCAAUUCCACGGAAUGUUCUCCAAAUAAAGUAUUCAUACUUUAUUAAAAAAGUAAA
This is a long non-coding RNA of Saimiri boliviensis boliviensis (Bolivian squirrel monkey), 3057 nucleotides long. RefSeq lists it as uncharacterized. The record is from RefSeq and is a predicted model, not a curated record. NCBI's taxonomy places the organism in Eukaryota, Metazoa, Chordata, Mammalia, Primates, Cebidae.